CCGGAGAGAACUCGAGAGUGCAGAGACGAGGGCCGGGUCAAGCGAAAAAUCCGACGGUCCAGAGGGCGGGGGCAAGAAGCGAGGGGCGGGAUUGCGGCCCCUGUAAACUGGAGUUGCUGGUGGGCAGCCCUGCUUCCUGCAUGGAACUGGAGCUGUAUGGAGUUGACGACAAAUUCUACAGCAAGCUGGAUCAGGAGGAUGCACUGCUGGGCUCCUACCCUGUAGAUGAUGGCUGCCGCAUCCACGUCAUUGACCACAGUGGCGCCCGCCUUGGUGAGUAUGAGGACGUGUCCCAAGUGGAGAAGUACACGAUCUCACAAGAAGCCUACGACCAGAGGCAAGACACGGUCCGCUCUUUCCUGAAGCGCAGCAAGCUCGGCCGGUACAACGAGGAGGAGCGGGCUCAGCAGGAGGCCGAGGCCGCCCAGCGCCUCGCCGAGGAGAAGGCCCAGGCCAGCUCCAUCCCCGUGGGCAGCCGCUGUGAGGUGCGGGCGGCGGGACAAUCCCCUCGCCGGGGCACCGUCAUGUAUGUAGGUGCGUGGCCCGCGGGCCCCGUCCCGGGCUCUAGGGCUCCAAGGCCGGGAGGAAACGUUAUGGGCGCAGUGGAGCCUCGGAGAUCACGCUCUGCCUUGGGGCGCGGGGUGGGGGGUACUCGAAA
RNAcentral lists this small RNA (658 nucleotides) under Pongo abelii (Sumatran orangutan). Its description in RNAcentral is "processed transcript". Lineage: Eukaryota; Metazoa; Chordata; Mammalia; Primates; Hominidae. The record is from RNAcentral.